Non-coding RNA from Cinara cedri, 294 nucleotides. The record is from the annotation of a GenBank genome assembly. Lineage: Eukaryota; Metazoa; Arthropoda; Insecta; Hemiptera; Aphididae.
GACGAUUUUUCAUAAUGUCUACGAUUAUUGUUAUUAUUAUAAUAUCAUUACGUUUACAGCGCGAUUUACAAUAUUAUAAUAUACGCACACCCCUAAUUUAUACGAGCUCGCAUACGCCUAUGUUUACUCUCUGCGACGCAUUAUUAUCGCGAUGCCGCGUGUUACGGUCUCUUGUUCAAUUCGGAUUAAUUUUUUUAUACAAUUCAAUUUAAUUUUUUUUUUUUUGCUUUUUCCUCCACUUUUUCUGAAACUUUGUGUUCGCAACACAAUAUUAUUAUUGUACACACUAUUAUU